GUAAAAGGGGACGCGGAGGAGAAGGAAAGUCGCUCAAGCAGUGGACAGAGCGGAGAAAGCGACUUCGGGUUGGUUGAAGGUUCAGCCUGAGAAAACUCCUGAGCAUGUGCGAAAAAGAAAAGAAGAAAAGAAAAGUAAAGAAAAGAAAAAAGGAAAAAGGGCAAGCUCCUGAGUGGAUCUCUCAGGGAGCCACCAGACAGCCGCAGAGAGAAGAAGCUGCCCAAGAAUGGAAAGGAAGAAAUAUAUCACAUCAUCUGUCUGUCCACAGGCUUUCCUUGGGGCUUAUGAAGUGAAUGAAGGAGGGAAGAAAGGAGAGACAGAGAAAAUAUGGUAUGCAGCUGGCAUCAGAAGCUGGAAGAUAGGAUCUUCCCGGAUCACAGCUCCUGUUCAGAAAGUCUGAGGAUGUCAGACUGAGACUGUUGAGUCUGAGGAUGUCAGACUGAGAUUGUUGAGUCUCAGGAUGUUGCAGGACAGGAUGGAUGAAGAAUGCUAGUCCUGGCAGUUGGGGCCUAAGGCCAGGGCCCUUUUUUAUCACUUUCUUGUGUUGCCUCUCUGCCCAAGAAAAAAUCUGUCUCUUGCAUACAGCUCCUCUAAUACGUGUCCAUUAGAAGGAAGGAGUUUCUUUAAUGAGCUCUAUGGUUUUAUCUUGCUCAUAACAGCUUAGUUUAAUGCCACUGAAACUGUAACAUUUUUUUGUGCCUAAUAUCAACUGACAAAUAUAAAGUUAUUCCUAAUUUAUUAAUUCAAAUGAUAUAUUGCAAAAUAAAAUCUGCUUAAUAUGAAAAGAAGUAA
This 792-nucleotide long non-coding RNA is filed under the name Homo sapiens (human). Its description in RNAcentral is "SOX2 overlapping transcript". The record is from RNAcentral. Lineage: Eukaryota; Metazoa; Chordata; Mammalia; Primates; Hominidae.